UUAAGAUUUGCCUUGUUCACUAGCAGGGGUGUGAUUUUUUCCCCCCAGCUAUAGAUAGUUUAAUUCUGGGGAUUGUGGAGGGGGUAUGAAUGAGAGAGCCCAGAGAUGCCUGUGGUGGCUGUUGCCUCUCAUACUGUCUUCCCCUACUCCCAUUGAUGCUGGUCCCUGCUGGUCUCUGCUGGUCUCUGCUGGUCCCUGCUGGUCUCUGCUGGUCCCUGGUGGUCUCUGCUGGUCCCUGCUGGUCCCUGGUGGUCUCUGCUGGUCUUUCCUGGUCUCUGCUGGUCCCUCCUUCUGUGUUUGCUGUUGCAUUUGCUGUUGCUGAAUUGCUAGUUUGCUGGACUAUUGGAUAGUCUAAAGAUGAAGAUUGACUUGCCCCAAGGAACCCAAACUAGCAGGAGGCAGUCUAUAGAUGUCUAUGCUUCCUCCCCCCACCCAAACCUUUCUUUCCUACCUAGUGUUGGAGGAUUGGAAGGGUGUUAGGGUUGAAUAAGGGUUAGAAGGGAGGUAGAGGUAUAAGAACCCAAUACAAUAGUGAAGAUAAACUAACCAAUGUCUUAUGUCAAUGUUUUCUACCCAGAGACCAAUGGGAAUCCCAAGAAGUCCUAGGAGAGAGAUGUAACUCCACACAGAUGCAUAGCAGCUUCUUCCCAGGGAAGGAGGUGGGAUUCUCCGUGCUGUCUCUAAUUCCGUGGUGUAAGGAUUCCUACUGUGACUUAUGCUAAGCUAUGCUACCUAUGUUGGUAGAAGUGAUGUCUACCAACUCCCACAAUUAAAGAAACAAAGCAAAAUGAAACAGCGAGCCCUUGGGAGUCAGCUGAUUCCAGCGCACACCAGAGAGAGACAGUCUGUCCAAAGAAGAAGUGGUUAGCUUCCUGGUGUACCAGGCAGGGAGGUUAAGAGCCACAGGGUCUGAGCCCAGAUGCAGGUGCUGGUUCACUGUAUGGGAGUUUCUGCUACAGAAUGAUGGAUUCUAUGGUCCGGGUUAGUGGGAAGUAAGCCUCUGGGACCACUCCAGCUCUCCCGGUCCCCAAGGCCCUGAGACCAGUGGGUGCCAAAACCCUGCCUGGAGAUGGCCAGGAGCAAGAGUAAUCGUCACACAAGCCGCGCCCAUGGACCUCUCCUCAUAAAUGCUGACUUUGCUCUUGGUAAACAGGUGGUGUACGAGGGGAUGGGUACUUCAUUUUACUUUUUUGAUAGAAUUAUUACUUUAUUAUUUUCCCUAUAAAUAGAGCGCUGACUCAUUUCGGUAAAGAAAUCAGCAAACACAAACAAACCCACAGAAGAAAAUAUAAAAUACUUAGAAUGUUGCCACCCACAUCAGAAUGCGAUUCUUCUCAAUUUUUCAUUUUUAAUGAAGAAAACUUUUCCCACAAGAAAGGAUUCUGCUUCGUUAUAAGCCUACAUUUGUUUCCAUACCAUCAUUAUGCUUUUUUUUGUCAAUAUCAUGCCCUUAUGUUAAUAAUACCACCCCUCACCCCCAUCCUUGAAUGCCAUUGUAUCUUUGCAGUGACGCCAUGGCUCAUUCUCUGUUUUCCUGUAUCAGUGGUAAAUGAUUCUUCUAGUUUAGUGUGUGUGCAUCUUCCAAGUCUUUUUGUCUUUCUCUGUACAAAUCUAUGCUGCACUACCAGCAGUUCUCUGUUCUGGCAAAAAUCACAAUAAAAAAUACCU
This 1668-nucleotide small RNA is filed under the name Rattus norvegicus (Norway rat). RNAcentral describes it as "uncharacterized LOC102553657". The record is from RNAcentral. Lineage: Eukaryota; Metazoa; Chordata; Mammalia; Rodentia; Muridae.